AAUGAACGCUGGCGGCAGGCCUAACACAUGCAAGUCGAACGGGUCCUUCGGGACUAGUGGCGGGCGGGUGAGUAACGCGUGGGAACAUACCCUUUGGUACGGAAUAGCCUCGGGAAACUGGGAGUAAUACCGUAUGUGGUCGAGAGACGAAAGAUUUAUCGCCAAAGGAUUGGCCCGCGUUGGAUUAGGUAGUUGGUGGGGUAAUGGCCUACCAAGCCGACGAUCCAUAGCUGGUUUGAGAGGAUGAUCAGCCACACUGGGACUGAGACACGGCCCAGACUCCUACGGGAGGCAGCAGUGGGGAAUCUUAGACAAUGGGGGAAACCCUGAUCUAGCCAUGCCGCGUGAUCGAUGAAGGCCUUAGGGUUGUAAAGAUCUUUCAGGUGGGAAGAUAAUGACUGUACCACCAGAAGAAGCCCCGGCUAACUCCGUGCCAGCAGCCGCGGUAAU
RNAcentral lists this ribosomal RNA (450 nucleotides) under uncultured bacterium. RNAcentral describes it as "bacterial SSU rRNA". It matches the Rfam family "Bacterial small subunit ribosomal RNA", at positions 29 to 524 of the family's 1533-position model. The record is from RNAcentral.